Molecule: unclassified non-coding RNA, 218 nt
Filed under: fungal sp.
Lineage: Eukaryota; Fungi
Description: partial internal transcribed spacer region
Rfam family: Eukaryotic small subunit ribosomal RNA (bases 1-46)
Source: RNAcentral
AAGUCGUAACAAGGUUUCCGUAGGUGAACCUGCGGAAGGAUCAUUACAGUGUGCGAGGGUUGUAUGGCCCGAGCAGUGAGAGGGUGUGGUUUUGAUGUGGGGGUUGGUGGGUAUGCAAGUACCCACCAACCUUUUUCAACACAAACAAUACGAUUUUGAACAAGGUAUGAGCAAGUGAUUACGACACACAACUGUCACCGGUGGAUCUCUUGGCUCGU